Molecule: ribosomal RNA, 253 nt
Filed under: uncultured bacterium
Lineage: Bacteria
Description: partial 16S ribosomal RNA
Rfam family: Bacterial small subunit ribosomal RNA
Source: RNAcentral
UCCAGAGGUCUCAAGCGUUGUUCGGAUUCAUUGGGCGUAAAGGGUGCGUAGGUGGCGCGGUAAGUCGGGUGUGAAAUUUCGGAGCUUAACUCCGAAACUGCAUUCGAUACUGCCGUGCUUGAGGACUGGAGAGGAGACUGGAAUUUACGGUGUAGCAGUGAAAUGCGUAGAGAUCGUAAGGAAGACCAGUGGCGAAGGCGGGUCUCUGGACAGUUCCUGACACUGAGGCACGAAGGCCAGGGGAGCAAACGGG